Molecule: regulatory RNA element, 56 nt
Organism: Rhodococcus equi ATCC 33707
Lineage: Bacteria; Bacillati; Actinomycetota; Actinomycetes; Mycobacteriales; Nocardiaceae
Rfam family: msiK RNA
Source: Rfam
CCCGUGCACCCUGACUCGGAUCGUCCGGCACGUUCCUGCCGGUGAAGGGAUCGUUC